AGGGCGAAAAGGAGCCUGCGAAAUGAGAGAGAAGGGUGAUCACAGGAAGGAAAAGGGCGGAAAAACUCAACAGGCUCUGGAAGCUUUCCGCCAGAGAGGAUCUUGGAGAUUAGAAAGAAAGACAAAAAGAAAGUGUUGGUGAUUGACUUCAUUUGAAGCAGAGGAAUUAAAACGGGCUUCCAGAUUUUAGGUGGAUGUUAAUGCUGUUAACUGAUUUGACAUGUUGAAUUUGAGAUGUUAGACAUCGAAGUGAAUGGGUACUCUGAAAGAGCAUCAAGAAAAUCUGACUGAAAAAAGAUUGACUGAGAUGGGCGCUGGAGUAUAAGCCAGAGUUUCACAGGUACUUAUCAUCCCUGCACAAGCCUUUGCAUCUUGAAAAUCCACCAGUUUUAUAGCACUCUGAAAAAAUUCCUUGUUGCCAUGGAGAUACUGUUCUUUCACAGUGAAUCCUUCUUGAAGUGAGGAAUCUGAGGCCCAGAGAGAUUAAGAAGCUUCACAAGUGACAUGACUUGUGCCAAAUCACAAGGUCAUUUAGUUGCAGAACUGGGACAGGAAUUCAUGCCCAGUUCUCUUUUCAAAACCCUGUGGAAAAAAGCAGCACAUUGAAUUUAGCCUUUGAUUCGUCAUCAGCAUUAUCAGAGGACUCCUACAUCAGAUUACCAAUGCACUUUGUCAUAAAUAUUUCGGAAUGCCUAUGAGAAAAAGAAUAAAGCUAAAUCAAGUCCAGAAUACAGAGACAAAUUACUGCUGCAUUUACAGAGUUCUCAACAUUCAUCAAAUUAUACAAUAGUCAGAGGAGUUUCCUGUGGAUAUAAGGUCCAUUUGAAUCCUUAAGAAAAAGAGUGGAUAUUGAAGAAAUAUGUUCUUUAUUCUGAGCAAAAAAGCCAGCAAAAAAGAUAAUGGAUUUGCCAAAAUAUAUCACGACAAU
This 928-nucleotide long non-coding RNA is filed under the name Pan troglodytes (chimpanzee). RNAcentral's name for it is "long non-coding RNA NONPTRT011670". The record is from RNAcentral. Lineage: Eukaryota; Metazoa; Chordata; Mammalia; Primates; Hominidae.